This 72-nucleotide transfer RNA is filed under the name Nematostella vectensis (starlet sea anemone). It matches the Rfam family "tRNA". From Rfam's summary of the family: Transfer RNA (tRNA) molecules are approximately 80 nucleotides in length. Their secondary structure includes four short double-helical elements and three loops (D, anti-codon, and T loops). The record is from Rfam by way of RNAcentral. Lineage: Eukaryota; Metazoa; Cnidaria; Anthozoa; Actiniaria; Edwardsiidae.
GGGGAUGUAGCUCAGUGGUUUAGCGUCCUUUUCGCAUGCGGAAGGCCCGAGGUUCGAUCCCCCGCAUCUCCA